UACAGCUCAGUGGUAGAGCAUCUGCUUUGCAUGCAGAAGGUUCAGGUUCAAACCCUGGGUAG
RNAcentral lists this transfer RNA (62 nucleotides) under Podarcis lilfordi (Lilford's wall lizard). RNAcentral's name for it is "tRNA.Ala". The stretch from base 4 to 58 matches the Rfam family "tRNA", at positions 9 to 63 of the family's 71-position model. Rfam says of the family: Transfer RNA (tRNA) molecules are approximately 80 nucleotides in length. Their secondary structure includes four short double-helical elements and three loops (D, anti-codon, and T loops). The record is from RNAcentral. Lineage: Eukaryota; Metazoa; Chordata; Lepidosauria; Squamata; Lacertidae.